This 466-nucleotide ribosomal RNA is filed under the name uncultured bacterium. RNAcentral describes it as "partial 16S ribosomal RNA". It matches the Rfam family "Bacterial small subunit ribosomal RNA", at positions 28 to 507 of the family's 1533-position model. The record is from RNAcentral.
GACGAACGCUGGCGGUGUGCUUAACACAUGCAAGUCGAGCGGUAAGGCCCUUUCGGGGGUACACGAGUGGCGAACGGGUGAGUAACACGUGAGUAACCUGCCCUCAUCUCUGGGAUAACAGUCGGAAACGGUUGCUAAUACUGGAUAUGAGCUUGCAAGGCAUCUUGUGGGUUGGAAAGAUUUUUUUGGUUGGGGAUGGACUCGCGGCCUAUCAGCUUGUUGGUGAGGUAGUGGCUCACCAAGGCUUCGACGGGUAGCCGGCCUGAGAGGGCGACCGGCCACAUUGGGACUGAGAUACGGCCCAAACUCCUACGGGAGGCAGCAGUGGGGAAUAUUGCACAAUGGACGGAAGCCUGAUGCAGCAACGCCGCGUGCGGGAUGACGGCCUUCGGGUUGUAAACCGCUUUCAAUUGUGACGAAGCUUUUUGUGACGGUAGCAGUAGAAGAAGCACCGGCUAACUACGUG